This is a small nuclear RNA of Lutra lutra (Eurasian river otter), 103 nucleotides long. The record is from RefSeq and is a predicted model, not a curated record. Lineage: Eukaryota; Metazoa; Chordata; Mammalia; Carnivora; Mustelidae.
GUGCUCACUUGAGCACAUCUCCUAAAAUUGGAACAACACAGAAAAGAUUAGCACGGCCCCCACACAAGUAGAGAUGCAAAUUUACAAAGCGUCCCCUAUUUUU